CUAAUUUUUGCGAUUUCUAUUGUUUAAUGUAAAUUUGUCUUUUUAGGAUAUGUCGAGCCAACAAAGAAGGCGCAGUUGGAAAAUUUAGUAAUUAGUAAUGAAGUAGCAGGCAUAUUUGGAAAAUUAUGCCGAUAAACAGGAUGGAAUUUGGGAAAAAAUGUUAUAAAUCGAGUGGCUCAUUUACGAUGUGCUCCAAACAUUUGGCGAACUUUUUUUCGCCUUUUCAACGUGCUAAGUAACAAGUUAAGAUGACUGCCAUCAUGGGCCGGUAAGAAACCGCAAGCAAAGGGCAGACAACCUUCCAGGAAGCUGCCUCCUGUCCCCGAGCCGAAGCUGCAGUUCAGCAAGAGCAGGUCAGCAAAUUGCUACCCUGAUCAAACGUAAACUAAAGCGCUCUGCUAUGAUUGCACUCCGCCGUGAGAUGGUGUAACGAUGUGUGGCAAAGAAAUGCGGCCAAUUCGACGGGCCUGAAAAAUCCAAAUUGGCUUUUGUGAUCCGCAUCCGCGGUAUCAACAAAGUUGCACAAAAAGUGCGUAGUUUUACAGUUCUGUCUUCGCCACAUUAAAACGGUGUGUU
Rhagoletis zephyria (snowberry fruit fly) is the source of this 576-nucleotide long non-coding RNA. RefSeq lists it as uncharacterized. Lineage: Eukaryota; Metazoa; Arthropoda; Insecta; Diptera; Tephritidae. The record is from RefSeq and is a predicted model, not a curated record.